CAAACACAACAUUGUCCGCCAGAGAACUACAAGCGAAAAACUCAAAACUCCAAGGACUUGGCGGUGCUCCAUACCAACCUAGAGGAGCCUGUCCUAUAAUCGAUACCCCACGUUGAACCUUACCACUUUUAGCCCUCCAGCCUAUAUACCGCCGUCGUCAGCCUACCUUAUGAAAGAAAUGAAGUAGACAAAAUAGUUAACAACUAACACGUCAGGUCAAGGUGUAGCACAUGAGGUGGAAGAGAUGGGCUACAUUUUCUACUGUAGAACACACGAAUGACACAGUGAAACACUAAUCUAAAGGCGGAUUUAGUAGUAAGAUAAAUAAGCAACACCAUCUUAAACCAGCUCUGGAGCGCGCACACACCGCCCGUCACCCUCAUCAU
RNAcentral lists this ribosomal RNA (386 nucleotides) under Paracontias minimus. Its description in RNAcentral is "partial 12S ribosomal RNA". It matches the Rfam family "Bacterial small subunit ribosomal RNA", at positions 854 to 1409 of the family's 1533-position model. Lineage: Eukaryota; Metazoa; Chordata; Lepidosauria; Squamata; Scincidae. The record is from RNAcentral.